Bactrocera oleae (olive fruit fly) is the source of this 1512-nucleotide non-coding RNA. NCBI's taxonomy places the organism in Eukaryota, Metazoa, Arthropoda, Insecta, Diptera, Tephritidae. The record is from RefSeq and is a predicted model, not a curated record.
UUUGAACAAAAAAAUUCAAGAGAAAUGUCUUAUAAAAUUUAUUUCUCAUUUGUUGUACUAUAAAGAUUUAUAGCAAUCAUCAAACUGUAAUGACGUUGGCAAAUAAAAUUCCAUUUAAAGAUUUGAAAACGAACAUAGACGCUAUAUUGAAAGUAAAUAUUACAAGGUAACAGUAAUUUUCCGCAAAUUAUCCCUUAACUCGUAAUGUAAAAGAAGCAAAAAUAAAAUUAAAGCAAAACGUUUUAACAAAACUUGAUCGACCAGUUGCAAUGACAACAGUUCGACAGUUGUUAAUCUGUUACUUCGUCGCAUAGGUAAACCUGAUCUACAUAAGCGCAAGAGAGCCAUCGUAACUGGCUUCCUUGAUUGAAGGGGCUCGUCUCGGUCGUAGUUGAUAAUGGCAAGUUAGCAGAGGUUAGUUAUAUUACGAACGAGAAAGACAAAGCAGUGACCAGCAAACUGCUUGGAUUACAAAAAGAAAUUAACCAAAUACGAAUAUAAUUGCUAUAUACAUAUAAAGAGCCGUUAUAUUUCAUUUCUGGCUCAAGUAUGGUUUCCAAACUUGUACUUACUUUCAAACACGCGCAUUUGGCUUUCCAUGCAUCGCAUCUAACGUAAUUGACCACAAACGAAAAUCUUUACUCUUUUCUGUACAAUUCAAACUAUAUCUCCAAUACCAGAAUAAAUUCCUUAUGGAUAUCGGGGGAGAUUUGCACGAAAAAGUCAAAACUAACAGCAAAUAAAAAAUACAUCCUCCGCCCACCUACAACAACAUGAAAACAGACCACAAAACCCACGAGCAAGCCUCAAAAGCGUAAACCAUAAAAGAUACUCCACAAAGGACAUAAGAAAGGUACGGAUGUUCUCGCCCAACUAUUUGCUUCUACAAAAUCAACGCAAUAAAUCAGCUUGCCAGUCGAGAAAAACGCUUUGUUGUUGUCAAAUCGGUAAAGUCACAGCGUUUCUAUUAAAAUUUGAUCCCAUUCACCAAUUGCAGCUGCACCAACGGAUAUCCAGUGGUGUCCCCUCUUAUCAAUUUGACUCCUCCUGUUUUCUACGCGAAGAAAUAUCUGGUUGGGUGCAACGACUCGAUAGCAAAUGAAAUCGGAAAUGCAUGGCACGUAACGCUUACGAGGCCAUGUUAAAGUACUAAUAAAGCCGCAAGGAAAGCAAUCGACAGUAAAACAAUUCCAAUAACAAUGAAAAGCAGCUAGGGCUAUAAAAGUGCAAAAGAAUUGCAAAGGAGUAAAAAUCCAACUGAAAAUGAGUUAAGUUGUGUGAGGACCGGUAGAAGCGCGCCACAUGCAAUCCUUGGCAGCAAUAUUGAUGAGCAUACACGAUGAAAAUACAAACAACAACUUCAAAUGUUGUACAUGAGUGGCUUAAAUAAAAACUAUAACAAUGUUAAUAAUAGCAAUGAUCAUAAAAAUAGUACUUAGUUGAAACUGUAGUGUUGCUCUAGCAAUAGUGGUCCAGUAGUAACUACGUUUAAAAAGGGUCUAUCAAGAAGAA